RNAcentral lists this long non-coding RNA (565 nucleotides) under Cyanistes caeruleus (blue tit). RNAcentral describes it as "lncRNA (ENSCCEG00000010838.1)". The record is from RNAcentral. Lineage: Eukaryota; Metazoa; Chordata; Aves; Passeriformes; Paridae.
CUCCUCAGCAGGUCCCACGAGGAAACCUUGCUGGUUCCUGGCAUAUCACCUGUGACCUUUCCAGGAGCAGGGAAGUGCCUGGAUGCUCACUGGAAAUGAUGCUCACCUCUGAUUUUCGCAGGAGUUUUCUUUUUUCUCAGCAGUAAUUCCAUUUGUCUGGGUACCAGUAUUAGUAAACCCAAACAAGGCUGUUUAUUCUCCUGCAAUUUGAGUCACAAGAAGAAUAAACCCAGACACCAAAGUGUCUCUGAGCACUGCCAGAGCAGCAACUCGAGGGAGGAGCAUUGUCAGGCUUCUACUCCAGGACACAUCACCUUGUUGUAGGACGAGGAAAACUUCACUGACUCCACCAAUUUUCAUCUGAAGCACAGAAUCACAUAUCAGGAAAUCUGGAUCAUCAGCCUGAUUUAAUGGUAUAGAAGGACUAAAGGAGAGUGAUUCAUCACAGGGACUGAUUCCCAGGGCUCUGCUGUGUGAAAGGCUCGGCUGGAUAUGCGCCAGAAGAGAGAGGGAGAUAAAAAUAGUAGACAUAUUCAGCAAGCAUCCUUUUAUUUUUUAAGUCACC